UCCUGGCUCAGGAUGAACGCUGGCGGCGUGCUUAACACAUGCAAGUCGAACGGAGUAUUAAGAAUGAAGUUUCGGAUGGAUUUUUAAUACUUAGUGGCGGACGGGUGAGUAACGCGUGGGUAACCUGCCUCACACAGGGGGAUAACAGUUGGAAACGACUGUUAAUACCGCAUAAGACCACAGUACCGCAUGGUACAGGGGUAAAAACUCCGGUGGUGUGAGAUGGACCCGCGUCUGAUUAGUUAGUUGGCGGGGUAACGGCCCACCAAGACGACGAUCAGUAGCCGAUCUGAGAGGAUGACCGGCCACAUUGGGACUGAGACACGGCCCAAACUCCUACGGGAGGCAGCAGUGGGGAAUAUUGCACAAUGGGGGAAACCCUGAUGCAGCGACGCCGCGUGAGUGAAGAAGUAUUUCGGUAUGUAAAGCUCUAUCAGCAGGGAAGAAAAUGACGGUACCUGAGUAAGAAGCCCCGGCUAACUACGUGCCAGCCGCCGC
This 498-nucleotide ribosomal RNA is filed under the name uncultured bacterium. RNAcentral describes it as "bacterial SSU rRNA". It matches the Rfam family "Bacterial small subunit ribosomal RNA", at positions 17 to 518 of the family's 1533-position model. The record is from RNAcentral.